GAAGCCCUGAUUGUUUCGAAGCCCUACGUAUCACGCGGGGUUUAAAGUAGGAACUUUCGGGGCUUU
Molecule: non-coding RNA, 66 nt
Filed under: unclassified sequences
Description: DUF3800-VIII RNA
Rfam family: DUF3800-VIII RNA
About the family: Bacteroidetes, Cyanobacteria, Firmicutes, Planctomycetes (1 example), Proteobacteria, Tenericutes (1 example). Nearby to DUF3800
Source: Rfam by way of RNAcentral